CCCCGCGCCGUCUCGGGUUUUUGGGGGGUUGGCGCUGCCCCAGCGCGUCCCCCCCGUCCCCGGUGCUCUGCGCUCUGCGUUGGGGCCCCCCCGGGUCCCGUCCACAUCUCCGUGCCCCGUGCUCCGGUUUGGGGUCCCGUUCGCUGCCCCCGCGGUGCCGGAGCCCUCUUGGGUUUUUGGGGCGCGCUCGAGGCAGCGGUAGGAGGGGGCGGCUGCAGAUUAGGGCAUGGUCCCCCCCACGCUUUCUGUUUCAUGUUUUGGGGUGAGUCUUGCCCCCUGUACCUAUCCUGGGACCCCCUGUGCUGUGUGGGAUUGGGGUUGGAUCUGAGGAAAUGGGGUACAGGCAGCUGCUGGUGGUGGGGAGCCCGUGUUUUGCUGCAUCCCAAAUUCCCCGUGAAGAUCCCCCACGUGGGAGGCACUGGGGGGGUCCCAGCUUCGAUGUGAACACUGGGUGUGCUCCCAGGAGGGUCCUGAGGGCUUCUCAGGGGUCUUGGUGACUCCCUGGGGUGCUGGUGUGUGGUAGAGCCGGGGUCACUGAUCCCCCUUCCCUCACGGUUUAAUCGAGGUCACUUGGGGGUUUGGUUGCCCCAGAUAUGUUAGGGUGUCACUGGCUGGACUUGGGGAGGACCUGGUGGGUAGAAGGUGAUGGGGAAGGCCAGGGGUUCUCCUGGACCCGUGUGGGGCAGGGAUCCACCCCCUGCUCCUGAGGGAUAUUCCCAGUCCUAGAGCCUCUAAAUUGCCUUGGGGAGAGCAAUGGGAAGAUGCAGCCCUGUCCCUUGGAUAGAGGGAGGCUGCAAGGGUUCCCGGGGAGGUGUCACCAUCCCUGGUGCUGACGGAGGUCCUCCCUACAGCUGUGGCCCCCCAGGAACGCCGGAGGCAGGAUGGACGAACAGAAGGUGCCUAGCGAGGAGAAGGACACAGCCGCGCCAGCUGAUGGGGUCAUGGCCUCGGAGGAGAUGGGCAGCGCCGAGGGGGACCCCCUGAAACCCCCCGAAGGAGCCUCUGCGGGGCCAGAGCCAGACAACACGGGCACGGAGGGACCUCCCGAGGCUGGCAGGUGAGGGUGGGAGGACUCGGGGGGUGGCGUGGAGCUAUCGAAGGGGUCCUAAAUAUCCCUGACACCCCCCCGUUUGUCUUCU
Molecule: long non-coding RNA, 1139 nt
Filed under: Lonchura striata (white-rumped munia)
Lineage: Eukaryota; Metazoa; Chordata; Aves; Passeriformes; Estrildidae
Description: domestica (Bengalese finch) lncRNA (ENSLSDG00000001353.1)
Source: RNAcentral